RNAcentral lists this ribosomal RNA (388 nucleotides) under uncultured bacterium. RNAcentral's name for it is "bacterial SSU rRNA". It matches the Rfam family "Bacterial small subunit ribosomal RNA", at positions 29 to 417 of the family's 1533-position model. The record is from RNAcentral.
AUUGAACGCUGGUGGCGUGCCUAACACAUGCAAGUCGAGCGGUAACAGGUGUAGCAAUACAUGCUGACGAGCGGCGAACGGGUGAGUAAUGCUUCGGAAUCUACCCAAUGGUGGGGAAUAACCAGCCGAAAGGUUGGCUAAUACCGCAUACGUCCCACGGGAGAAAGCAGGGGAUCGCAAGACCUUGCGCCAAUGGAUGAGCCGAAGUCGGAUUAGCUAGUUGGAGGGUAACGGCCUACCAAGGCGACGAUCCGUAGCUGGUCUGAGAGGACGACCAGCCACACUGGGACUGAGACACGGCCCAGACUCCUACGGGAGGCAGCAGUGGGGAAUAUUGGACAAUGGGGGAAACCCUGAUCCAGCGACGCCGCGUGUGUGAAGAAGGCCU